RNAcentral lists this ribosomal RNA (393 nucleotides) under uncultured bacterium. RNAcentral's name for it is "partial 16S ribosomal RNA". It matches the Rfam family "Bacterial small subunit ribosomal RNA", at positions 523 to 918 of the family's 1533-position model. The record is from RNAcentral.
AUACGGAAGGUCCGGGCGUUAUCCGGAUUUAUUGGGUUUAAAGGGAGCGCAGGCGGAGAUGCAAGCGUGACGUCAAAUUUCGGGGCUCAACCCCGUCUCGCGUCGCGAACUGCGUCCCUUGGUUGCGGGAAGGGGAGGCGGAACUCGUGGUGUAGGGGGGAAAUGCAUAGAUAUCACGAAGAACUCCGAUCGCGAAGGCAGCCUUCCGGCCCGUCAACGACGCUCAUGCUCGAAGGUGCGGGUAUCAAACAGGAUUAGAUACCCUGGUAGUCCGCACAGUAAACGAUGGACACCCGCGGUUUGGCCUGUAUGGCUGAGCCGCCAAGCGAAAGCGUUAAGUGUCCCACCUGGGGAGUACGCCGGCAACGGUGAAACUCAAAGGAAUUGACGGGG